This 200-nucleotide ribosomal RNA is filed under the name Conticribra weissflogii. RNAcentral describes it as "partial Eukaryotic large subunit ribosomal RNA". It matches the Rfam family "Eukaryotic large subunit ribosomal RNA", at positions 1543 to 1734 of the family's 3401-position model. Lineage: Eukaryota; Bacillariophyta; Thalassiosirophyceae; Thalassiosirales; Thalassiosiraceae. The record is from RNAcentral.
UUCUAAGAGAUAGGGAAACUCCGUUUCAAGGCGCCCGCUUGCUCGGGCCGUCCAUCGAAAGGGAAUGCGGUCAAGACUCCGCAACCGGGAGGCAGACUUUGAGCGGCAACGCAAACGAACUCGGAGAUGCCGGCGACUGGACCUCGGGAAGAAUUUUCGCUUCUCCUUAACGGCCUCGGGCCACCCUGGAAGUGCAUUAU